GUAAAGCGCGCGUAGGUGGCUAAUUAAGUCAAAUGUGAAAUCCCCGAGCUUAACUUGGGAAUUGCAUUCGAUACUGGUUAGCUAGAGUAUGGGAGAGGAUGGUAGAAUUCCAGGUGUAGCGGUGAAAUGCGUAGAGAUCUGGAGGAAUACCGAUGGCGAAGGCAGCCAUCUGGCCUAAUACUGACACUGAGGUGCGAAAGCAUGGGGAGCAAACAGGAUUAGAUACCCUGGUAGUCCAUGCCGUAAACGAUGUCUACUAGCCGUUGGGGCCUUUGAGGCUUUAGUGGCGCAGCUAACGCGAUAAGUAGACCGCCUGGGGAGUACGGCCGCAAGACUAAAACUCAAAUGAAUUGACGGGGGCCCGCACAAGCGGUGGAGCAUGUGGUCUAAUUCGAUGCAACGCGAAGAACCUUACCUGGCCUUGACAUACAGAGAACUUUCCAGAGAUGGAUUGGUGCCUUCGGGAACUCUGAUACAGGUGCUGCAUGGCUGUCGUCAGCUCGUGUCGUGAGAUGUUGGGUUAAGUCCCGCAACGAGCGCAACCCUUUUCCUUACUUGCCAGCAUUUCGGAUGGGAACUUUAAGGAUACUGCCAGUGACAAACUGGAGGAAGGCGGGGACGACGUCAAGUCAUCAUGGCCCUUACGGCCAGGGCUACACACGUGCUACAAUGGUCGGUACAAAGGGUUGCUACACAGCGAUGUGAUGCUAAUCUCAAAAAGCCGAUCGUAGUCCGGAUUGGAGUCUGCAACUCGACUCCAUGAAGUCGGAAUCGCUA
This 777-nucleotide ribosomal RNA is filed under the name uncultured bacterium. Its description in RNAcentral is "bacterial SSU rRNA". It matches the Rfam family "Bacterial small subunit ribosomal RNA", at positions 560 to 1337 of the family's 1533-position model. The record is from RNAcentral.